GCCCUAGUAGCCUAGUGGUUAUAGCGUGUGCCUCGUAAGCGCAAGGUCGCCGGUUCGACUCCGGUCUGGGGCA
Non-coding RNA from Trichomonas vaginalis G3, 73 nucleotides. Lineage: Eukaryota; Parabasalia; Trichomonadida; Trichomonadidae. The record is from Rfam.